AACGAACGCUGGCGGCGUACCUAACACAUGCAAGUCGUACGAGAAAUUCCGAUUCGUCGGGAGAGUAAAGUGGCGAACGGGUGAGUAACACUAGGGUAAUCUUCCCUUAAAUAAGGGAUAACGUUGCGAAAGCGACGCUAAUACCUUAUAAGACUACGAUCUCUUAGGAGGUAGUAGGAAAAGAUGGCCUCUGUUUCAAGCUAUCGUUUAAGGAUGAGCCCUAGCACUAUUAGCUAGUUGGUGAGGUAACGGCUCACCAAGGCGACGAUGGUUAGCUGGUCUGAGAGGAUGGCCAGCCACACUGGAACUGAGACACGGUCCAGACUCCUACGGGAGGCAGCAGUGAGGAAUAUUGCGCAAUGGGGGCAACCCUGACGCAGUGACGCCGCGUGAGUGAUGAAGGCUUUCGAGUCGUAAAGCUCUGUUAGGUGGAAAGAAACAUCCCGGCGCUAAUAUCGUCGGGACUUGACGGUACCACCAGAGGAAGCACCGGCUAACUCCGUGCC
RNAcentral lists this ribosomal RNA (506 nucleotides) under uncultured bacterium. RNAcentral's name for it is "bacterial SSU rRNA". It matches the Rfam family "Bacterial small subunit ribosomal RNA", at positions 29 to 509 of the family's 1533-position model. The record is from RNAcentral.